Molecule: ribosomal RNA, 433 nt
Filed under: uncultured bacterium
Lineage: Bacteria
Description: partial 16S ribosomal RNA
Rfam family: Bacterial small subunit ribosomal RNA
Source: RNAcentral
AGCGAACGCUGGCGGCAGGCCUAACACAUGCAAGUCGAACGAACUCUUCGGAGUUAGUGGCGGACGGGUGAGUAACACGUGGGAACGUGCCUUUAGGUUCGGAAUAACUCAGGGAAACUUGAGCUAAUACCGGAUGUGCCCUUCGGGGGAAAGAUUUAUCGCCUUUAGAGCGGCCCGCGUCUGGUUAGCUAGUUGGUGAGGUAAAGGCUCACCAAGGCGACGAUCAGUAGCUGGUCUGAGAGGAUGAUCAGCCACAUUGGGACUGAGACACGGCCCAAACUCCUACGGGAGGCAGCAGUGGGGAAUCUUGCGCAAUGGGCGAAAGCCUGACGCAGCCAUGCCGCGUGAAUGAUGAAGGUCUUAGGAUUGUAAAAUUCUUUCACCGGGGACGAUAAUGACGGUACCCGGAGAAGAAGCCCCGGCUAACUUCGUG